This 704-nucleotide ribosomal RNA is filed under the name uncultured bacterium. RNAcentral describes it as "bacterial SSU rRNA". It matches the Rfam family "Bacterial small subunit ribosomal RNA", at positions 56 to 749 of the family's 1533-position model. The record is from RNAcentral.
UGCAGUCGAGGGGCAGCAUGAUUUGCAGCAAUACAGAUUGAUGGCGACCGGCGCACGGGUGAGUAACGCGUAUGCAACUUACCUAUCAGAGGGGGAUAGCCCGGCGAAAGUCGGAUUAAUACCCCAUAAAACAGGGGUCCCGCAUGGGAAUAUUUGUUAAAGAUUCAUCGCUGAUAGAUAGGCAUGCGUUCCAUUAGGCAGUUGGCGGGGUAACGGCCCACCAAACCGACGAUGGAUAGGGGUUCUGAGAGGAAGGUCCCCCACAUUGGUACUGAGACACGGACCAAACUCCUACGGGAGGCAGCAGUGAGGAAUAUUGGUCAAUGGCCGAGAGGCUGAACCAGCCAAGUCGCGUGAAGGAAGAAGGAUCUAUGGUUUGUAAACUUCUUUUAUAGGGGAAUAAAGUGGAGGACGUGUCCUUUUUUGUAUGUACCCUAUGAAUAAGCAUCGGCUAACUCCGUGCCAGCAGCCGCGGUAAUACGGAGGAUGUGAGCGUUAUCCGGAUUUAUUGGGUUUAAAGGGUGCGUAGGUGGUGAUUUAAGUCAGCGGUGAAAGUUUGUGGCUCAACCAUAAAAUUGCCGUUGAAACUGGGUUACUUGAGUGUGUUUGAGGUAGGCGGAAUGCGUGGUGUAGCGGUGAAAUGCAUAGAUAUCACGCAGAACUCCGAUUGCGAAGGCAGCUUACUAAACCAUAACUGACACUGG